Haemorhous mexicanus (house finch) is the source of this 6004-nucleotide long non-coding RNA. RefSeq lists it as uncharacterized. The transcript has 2 exons. NCBI's taxonomy places the organism in Eukaryota, Metazoa, Chordata, Aves, Passeriformes, Fringillidae. The record is from RefSeq and is a predicted model, not a curated record.
AGAGGCACAGGGAGCUGAGAGAGAGGUCUGCACUGUCUUCAGGCAGGUGGCAAUGCUGAGCUCUGCUGAAAAUCAGACCAUUUCUUUACAUACCGAGACUUGGGUUUGGGAAAAUUUAUCUGGUGGCAGGCUGGUGUUCAAGAUUAGACUAGAACAUGGAUCAGCAGUGCGAGUGGCAUCUGGGCUGCAUUUGGGACAGGUGGGGGCCCCUUCAGUCACAGUUGUGCAAGUUGUGUGAGGAAUUUUAAGUUGGAUGCAAAUCUGGGGCUGUAAUUCCUCUGAUCUGUGCAUGCCACAUUUCCUGGAGCGUAUUCUGGUGCUAGAAGCCAUAUGAGCCAAUGUGUUGAAAAGAGCCUGUUUUAAUGGAUUUUGUAAGUCACUGCGUAACCCAUGGCUCUUCCUAGAGGGUGCUGGUACUUGUUGAAGGACACUGCCUUUUUCUCUUCAGAACUGGCUUCCCUUGCCCACAGUUUCUGAGCUCUGCAGCCUAGGGCUUGCCCUGGCGUCUGUCCAGAGUGAAUAAGAGCUCGCGCAUUCCUCUGGACUUAGUUUAAAUGCUGGCUGCAGGAUAACACUUUAUCUGGCUAAAGCCUUACUAGACAAAGUCCAUUCAAUAUUUUUUAUAUUGCUUUCAGGAAACUUCAGUUAGCCCUGUGAAUUCCUCUCAGGCAGUAGUUUAUAUCAAGUGGCUUCAAAGUUUUUAAUCUUUGAGAGCUGGAGUCCAGCUUCCUGCAUUCCUGAGCCCUCCCCGCAGACAGCUGCUGCCUAUGGUGGCUUCCCUGUGUCACCCUGUUUCUUGAGGCACAUGCAAGUGAAGGGUAGGGCUGAGGACAGCCCUGGGUUGAAGCUCCUGCGCUAACAGUUUCAUUGUUUCUCUCUCUCUGAUGGGAUUCAGAGCAGAGACCUGUAAUUGCAUGGAAGGAUUAUAUUUCUGGUAGGGAUAUGUGUUUUUUCUUUCCUGUUCAAGCCCAGGAGAGUUCAGGCCAUUCUGAGCCUUUGAAAAUUCAUUUUGCUUGUGCUCCGAGGGACUAAGACAUCUUUAUGAGACAACUCCAUGGAGAUUGUUCUGUUCAGAGGGCAUGCUGCCUGCGGGCUGAGCAGGCUGUUCUGUGCAAUUACGUGUCUAAAUUGAAUGUGCUGGAGAUGUGCUUAGGAAAACAGGUGUAGUUUUUACCUAAAAACAAAUGUUAAAUUUAAAAUUUUUAAAAAAAUACAAACAAAAAUCAACAGUUAGACUCUUUGUAGGUCUCUUCAAACUCAGGAUUUUCUAUGUUGCCUCUAAUACAUACAUACAUACAUACAUACAUACAUACAUACAUACAUACAUAUAUAAAAUGUUAUGAAAAAGGCAUGCCAGGAUAACUUUCAAGUGCUUCCUUCUGGAAACUCUAUAAAGUCUGCUGUGCCUGUGUGGCCUCAGCUGGGGCUCUGGUGACAGGUCACACACACUUACCUUUCAUAGAAUGAUGGAAUCAUUAAAGUUGGAAAAAUCCUCUAAAGUAAUUGAAUCCGACUGUUCCCACAGCACUUUCAAGCCCAUCACCAAAUCAUGUCCCCAGGUGCCACAUCCAUACAUUUGCUUAGUACUUCCAGGGAUGGAGGUUCCACCACUGCCCUGAGCACCCUGUGUUCAAAUGCCUAAUUACCCUUGCAAUGAAGACAUUUUCUCUUAUAUCCAAUCUAAAUGUGCCCUGGCUCAGCUUGAGGCUGUUUACUCUUGUAUGUCUUUCUGGCCCAGGAGGCUGCUCUUGCAGGGACCAGGCUAUGAUUUGUUCUGCUGGGGUUCAACAGAGGAGGCAGCAGGGCUUGUAGCUCAAUCAAAACAGCUUUUUCAUGGUGACUGAAACUCUGAGGACUUUUCCUAGAAACUGACUUUAGAAUUGCACCUGAAGUAAGGGGAAAUCUUGCAGGAACAUGCCAGGUUCUCUCUGCUGCUGGCUGCAAAGGUCAGGUUUUUCCCUGGAACACCUACUUCUGUUUGACUAGCCCUGCUUUCCAGAUGUGUGAGGGGUGGGUAGGAUGCACCUGAAGCUUCAAGGCUGUUGUGAGAAGUUUCUUAGUGGCUCUGAAAUACUAAGAUGUUUAUGGAUGCUGUAGCAUCAGUUUAGCAGAGAAAUCCAUAAGGAAAUCAAAUGCACUGACUUCAGUCAGAACUGAAUAGAGGAUAAGUAGCAUCUAUGUAAGUCUUUCAGUGAAAAGUUGAGUUGAAGCAGUGAUUCCCCACACAUGCGCACAUACUGCUUUCAGUCCAGAAGCUCAUAGGUGAGUAAACAUUUACUACCUGACAUAUACCCAAAGAAAGAAUUUUGAAGUUUCCCACACUUAACCUGUGCAGUAUUCAUCUUCUAGCUUAAUUCUCUGUGAGUAAAUGAAAUACAAAUGUGAUUCAAGGUCUUUUCAUGUGUUAAUAACCUCUUGGCAGGCAGAAGAAUAAUGGGUAGGAAUAAAUGCUGUGUUUUCAAAAGGCCGAUUGUCUGCUGAUCCCACAGGAAUGUGAGCUGGUCUUUUGAUUUGUACAAGGAGAUGAAUCAUGAGCUGACAGCUCAGUGUUGAUAGAAAAUUAUUAACGGCCAUAAAAAUAAAGGUUGCAAAGAGAUCUGGUGAGGGUGACAAACAGAGCGAUCAAGCAGCAGAGAGUGUUGUGUCACCAAAAGCAAUGUUUUUUACAUGGGGGAGAGAUCCCUGACUGCAAGUGCAGUGGGAAGCCCCAGUUGUGCCUUUUUGAGGAGGGAAAGACGUUUUCCAGCUUGUAUAUGAAUUUCCAGAAACACAUAGACAUUGCUAGGAAGUGGUCAGAAACCAAAAGAGGGAUCAGGAGCUUUCAGGGAAGGGACUGAGAGCAAAGCACCACUUGGCUGUAGUUUUGCUGUGCCCACUCUGUAUAUCCUGCCCAGGUCCCUCCAAGGCUGAUGAGUGAGGCAGGGAAGGUGACAUGUGAGCUGGAUGUAAAGGAGGGAAGAAGGGACACAGUCAAUGGGACGAAAGAAACUUACGAUGACCUGGGGAAAGCAAGAAGAAAAUUUCUCACUGUGUGCCAUAGCAGAGCUGAAAGCUGCCUGGUUUUGGUGUUGGGCAGCAGGCUCAGGAAUGAUCUGUCCUGAAGCACAGAAUAAAAUCCCAAAGGGCUAGCACAUUGUUCGGAUUGUCAUGACCUUCCCAAAGAAGCAUCUUGAAAAAGACACCUCAGGUGCGCAGGCAUGCCUGUGCUCACGCCAGGUGAUUUCAGCUCUACCAUGAUCCAAGUGACACAGAAGGAGAGACGGGGUCUUAGUGUGGGGUUUCAAGAAGAGCUUUUACUGAGCUUCUUCCUCAAAGGGAUCCACUCAGGCAUCCACUCAGGAAAGCAGGGUUUUAUAUCGGGAUCUUGAGGAGCUGGGCAGAAUGCCAGGGCCAAUGGGCUGAGGGCACAGGGGUGGAGCGAGUGGGAAGGGUCAAUGGGAAUACAUUGAAUCUGCAUGUCACAGCAAAGCAUGCUGGGAGAUCCUUUUUUCCUUACCUUAACAAGGGUGAUUAUGGCUUGAGGGGUUUUCCGUCCUGGAGAGUGUUGUGGGUUUUUUCCCUGUUGGCCCACCAGCCUCCACAGCUCAGAGCAUAAAGAGGUUUAGAAAGAAAUGGGACAAAUGCAAAGAAGGGAGGUCUGUCUCUUGAUGGUUAAUGAUCCAGGUACUACACUGCCUUAGGGUAUUGCUCACCUGCUGUUAGCUAGGAGUUUUUUGAAGGAGGAUAGUAAUUUUUCAGACAUCCUGUAUCUGUUUCUUAUCUUGGUGACAGGUGCAGGCUGCUGCCUUGUCUGGCUGAUGAACAUGGCAUUUCCCAUAUAGGGAAUGGUGAUCGAGAAACAUUGUUGGGAUGUAGAAAGAAACACUGGUGGUGUGAGAAAGAGCAGCUAAAGCAGUGCUGUAGAAUGGGGGAUCCUGGGCAGAUCUAAACCAGGAGAGCAGCACUGCUGGUGCCAAGCCCAGUUUACCUGCUCAGGAGCACCUACCUGUUGGGAAUUGGUUACAUGACAAAGGUCACGUAGACAUGCUCUGGAUAGCUGAGAAUUGGAAAAGUACUGGCCCAGCUAAUCUGGGCCCUGCACCUGCAAGGCCGCAGUGGCCUUGAGUAUAGUUGUAGUCUGAUAACAAGAUGAUGUAGCCGAGAGCAGAGCAUGAGAAAAGGGAGAUGUAAGCUGUAAAGAAUGAAGAAGUAAGAAUAACCAAUAGACUGCUUAGCUUACAGAAUAUGCAUGAGCUUAUUACAUGUUGUGCUUAAAUGUCUGAUGCUCUAAUCAAUAAACGAAGCUUGCUGAUUCUCACAUUGAGAUGACCCGAGUUUCCUACACUGUGACAAAUGGCGCCUCGAACAGAGACCCUAAAAGAGGGGGGAGGCGAAAGGGCUGGUGCUCUACGCCUUGAACAAGGACCCUAAGAGAGGGGGGUUGGCAAAAGAGCUGGUGGUCUCCGUGCCCCGAGCGACCCUACAGAGGAGUCUCGGCUUGAACCUGUUGGCCACGGUCCAGUGCAGUAUCCGUGUCGGUCCCGAAGCAGCACGGGAGGCAAAGAGCUGGUACUCCGGCCCCGAGCGACCCUAGAGAGGAGUCUCGGCCGAUGAACGCCGCCGACAUCUUGGAAGAGCUGCAACAGCGCUGACGUUUAAAUUGAAAGCCGGCAAUUGCAUUCACAGCGGUGCCGGCGGGAGUCGACCCUGUAUUACCCGUGCCGACCCCUCCCGUGGCCGCCUCUCCAGCAGAGCCCGUGAGAGCUCCGGCCGCGGCUGUCCUGCCAUCUCCCGUGUCGGCUCCACCAGCAGCUGUCUGCGCCUGCACCGCAGCUUUCGGCACCCGGAAAGGACGCGGCUGCCGUCCCCAACCCGGCAAGAGAUGCAUUUCCUUCAGCUUUGCAGCCCCCACCGACUCCCGCGGCGACCCCGCCUUCGCCCGCCGCGCCGGUGAAGAAGAUUAGAGUCGACAAUAGGGACCACCAAGCGGAACCGUCUUCAGAGCCGCCCCUCUGCCCCCAACAGUAGCUGCCAGCGCCUGCGAUCAGCCGAUAUUCCCUCCCGAACUUUUCGAACUGUCCCGAGACUGCCCCUGCGGGGGCAGCUGAGACGGGGGGGAAGACGAAGAGGAGGGGGGGGACGCCAUCCUGCCCCUGCGGUGCCGCAAGGGCCUGUGUAAAAACUCAGCGUUUUUCGCAAGCCGAUUCGAGUCUAGUUUAGAAGUUGCCGUUAAAGUUUAAAAUGCUUAAAUUCCCCGCUCGCCCCAGCGGCGUAAAGAAAGUAACUCCUAAAAGUUUUGCCUCUGUUCCCCAGCCCAGGGCGAGUGGGGGUGAGAGUAGUACCAAGGAGCUGUAAAUUAACCCUGUGAGUACACCAAAGGGAACUGCAUAACUGUAAAGAAUCUAAAAGCCUGUGUUAUAUAGACCUUUUUAACCAUUCGCAGUCUAUUUACUCCCAGCUCUCUGAGUUGCAGAGGUUAACUAGAAACUUACAAGUAAAAUUAAGCUUUAGUGUUGAUAGAUAGCUCAAAUCCGUAAACCUAAGAUUAUAGCUAUGUUUUAUUGUUAAAGCUAGUAUUAUAGUAAACAUUAUAGCUUUGUUAAUAGUAUUAGUUUUGCUUUGUUUUUGCAUGUGCUUAUAAAAAAUAGUGUAAAAAAUAAUAUUUACUGCAUUUAGUCAAAUAUUGCUUGUGCAAAAAGAAAACAGGGGAAUUGUUGGGAAUUGGUUACAUGACAAAGGUCACGUAGACAUGCUCUGGAUAGCUGAGAAUUGGAAAAGUACUGGCCCAGCUAAUCUGGGCCCUGCACCUGCAAGGCCGCAGUGGCCUUGAGUAUAGUUGUAGUCUGAUAACAAGAUGAUGUAGCCGAGAGCAGAGCAUGAGAAAAGGGAGAUGUAAGCUGUAAAGAAUGAAGAAGUAAGAAUAACCAAUAGACUGCUUAGCUUACAGAAUAUGCAUGAGCUUAUUACAUGUUGUGCUUAAAUGUCUGAUGCUCUAAUCAAUAAACGAAGCUUGCUGAUUCUCACA